ACCAUUUGCAUAUCAAUCUUUAAGGGAAACAUCCUUUUAAUGUGUUUAUGUGGCCUUGUCUCCGUUUUAUUGCUACUUUGUGUCAUACUCAAAAUAAGUUGACUAUAAAGCUACAUGUAUCUACACAAAAAGAGAGUUUAUUUAGUAUGCUUGCUUGGGAAUAAGCAGGAGACAAAAGAAAACAUCCAAGUUAAAACAUGAAGCAGCAAAAGAGAGUGUUCAUCCACAAAAUGUGAGAGGUUUCUUAGCAUAUAAAGAUAUUGAUAUAAAUCUAAUCAUUCUCGUAAGAACAAGAACAAAAUGAAAGAGCCAAAAACUAAACCCAUCUUUCACUUUUUAGAUACGAGAAGUGCCACGAUCUUUUGAAGAUCUUCCUGAUUUUGCUUUGCAACCUUUGUAAUCUCAUCAAGCCGGUGCAUGUAGAGAGCAUUUUUGGCACUCAUCUCUUUCUUAAACUCAUGGAUAACCACACUCUUCUUGUUUAUCUCCAACCACAAGUCGGCUAGGCUUCUAUCCGUUUUAGAGGUGUUCCAUAACCCCCAAACGAAGGAGAUGCAAGUAAGAGAGCCAAAGAAACACCAAGUGAGAAACGAGGUAUAGGUUUGUGAGAAAUCUCUGGAGGCCUUACCUAGGCAAGUGUACUCCACAAAAGUUUGAUGCUCCUUCCCUUUAGCUUUAGCCAGUAGUUGAAGCUUCUUAGCUUGAGAUAUGUUGAUAAAUUUGAGAAACUUCCAUUUGCGUUUGACGCUCCUCUCGCAUGAUCUCUUGACCCCGAUGUAAUGAAGCCUAGUUGCUAAAAGUUUAAAAACCUUGAACCAUGUCGAUUGUGGAUCGUCAUUAGGUGUGUAAUCAUCAUCGUCAUUAUUGCUGGAUCCAUCAUCACUCUUUUUCCCAUCGCCGGAUCCAUCAUUGCUCUUUUUCUCACCGGAUCCAUCAUCAUCACUCUUUUUUUCACCAGAUCCAUCAUUAGAACUCCUUACAAUUUUAUAAUACUAAAUUUUGAAUAAAUUAAA
RNAcentral lists this small RNA (1013 nucleotides) under Arabidopsis thaliana (thale cress). RNAcentral's name for it is "ATSL235360". The record is from RNAcentral. Lineage: Eukaryota; Viridiplantae; Streptophyta; Magnoliopsida; Brassicales; Brassicaceae.